This 397-nucleotide ribosomal RNA is filed under the name uncultured bacterium. Its description in RNAcentral is "bacterial SSU rRNA". It matches the Rfam family "Bacterial small subunit ribosomal RNA", at positions 28 to 429 of the family's 1533-position model. The record is from RNAcentral.
GACGAACGCUGGCGGCGUGCUUAACACAUGCAAGCCGAGCGGUAAGGCCCUUUCGGGGGUACGACGAGCGGCGAACGGGUGAGUAACACGUGGGUGACCUGCCCUCAGCUCUGGGAUAAGCCUGGGAAACCGGGUCUAAUACUGGAUAUGACUCCAUGACGCAUGUUGUGGGGUGGAAAGCCUUGUGCGGCUGAGGAUGGGCCCGCGGCCUAUCAGCUUGUUGGUGGGGUGAGGCCUACCAAGGCGACGACGGGUAGCCGGCCUGAGAGGGCGACCGGCCACACUGGGACUGAGACACGGCCCAGACUCCUACGGGAGGCAGCAGUGGGGAAUCUUGCGCAAUGGGCGAAAGCCUGACGCAGCGACGCCGCGUGAGGGAUGACGGCCUCGGUGUAAC